UCUACACUCAGGUUUUGCGUAAGGCAAUCGCCUUCUGAUUACAACAGCUUCCCUGCUUUGAGGCAGAAAGCUUGGAGGUCAUUUUUGAAGUUUCAAUUGUUUCCUCUGUUACACAUGCACAUAACCUCGAAAUAAUGGUGUAGCAAAUUUUUGUCCGUACCUAAUUAAUUUUCUAGUCAUGUCACAAACGUCAAUGGGAUUCACUGAUCAACAACAACAAAGGGCUCAGAGUCAAGUUGGGGCACCCUACAUUCCCACGGAGGAGGAGAAGAGGGUGUUUCGGGAAUGCAACCAAGAGAGCUUCUGGUACAGAUCCCUUCCGUUAACUGCUGUGGCAGUGUCUGUAGCUCAAGCACUCGUUAUGAAAGGAGUCCUUGCACCCUCACCACGAUUUGGUUCCCUGCCUAAAGUAGCUAUUGCUGGUCUGUUUGGGUACAUUGGCGGGAAGAUCUCCUACACAAAGAUAUGUCAGGAGAAGUUCAAAAAUCUGGAGAAUUCCCCAUUGGGUGAAGCCCUAAGACAAGGACAACGUUAUAUCCCUCAACAGUUUGCUCCUCAGAACCCAUCAGAGUUGGGAGAUCCUAACCAGGCUUUUUUUGAACAAGCCUCCCAGUCAGUGGCGGAACCUCGCACCCAAGCAGACUCCUUCAGCUACCCUAGUGACUUCUAUAGUGAUCAGGGUGCUCUAUUGAGCCCUCCCCUCACUGAGUCUGACCCCACAGGAGCUGCAGCUGAUGUCAACCAACCAGUCCCUCCUUACUUGGAUGAUGAGACUCCCAAAAAGAGACCAACCCUGUACGAGGACCUACGAAGCAGAAACCGUGAGAACUACGAGGUUACCCUGACCCAAAAAGCAGACACUCUGCUCAAGUCCCCAGCUGAAACACCUGUUCCGAAGAGAGAUGUUUGUAGGAAUAAUUUGCCAUGCAGGCUGCAUCACAUCCAGCCGUGAUUGGGAGUGCCAUAGGGCGGCGCACAAUUGGCACAGCGUUGUCCGGGUUUGGCCGGGGUAGUCAUUUGAAAAAGAACCAAUAUGGAGAUGCAUGGGACGAGUGAAGAGUCUGCUUCAGGAGCCAGUGAUCAGCUGCUGUACCAGGAGAAGAAGGCAAGAGGGCACAUGUAGUAUACACAAGACCUCUGCUUUUUAUGCAAUCAUGCUAUAGAAAUCUGAAAAACACGUUUGACGUUUCCAAAGUGAUAAAUGUCAAAUCAUAUAUUGUCAAAAGGUUAACAUGAAUAGCAGCUUUCUAGAAUUGUCCAAUACAAUUGAAUGCAGCCAACAGGCUUACCAAUAGCUUGUGUAUCAGUGGAGGCUGCUGAGGGGAGGACUGCUCAUAAUAAUGGCUGGAAUGGAGUCAAUCGAAUGGUAUCAAACAUGUCUCCAUUCCAGCCAUUAUUAUGAGCCAUCCUCCCAUCAGCAGCCUCCACUGCUAUGUUUCCAUCCCAUCAUUUUAGCUAUGUAACUGGGUCUUAUUCAAAUGUGAAUGUUCAGUAUUGAGCUCAUACUAUUUUGAAGGUUUAUCUGUAAAUCCUAAAUGAAUAUAAUUGACUAUGUCCAUUUGGUGUUAUCUGGACCGUAUCUGACGUCAGGUUAUUGCGUUGAGGGUAGCAGAUCAGAUUAUAACGCUAUAUGAUGUAAAAGCAGAAUGUUGAGGGCCUCUUUGAAGACCAUCUUAGCACAGGUGGACAUCUGAAGGUUUAGUUUGGCAGUGUGUUGUCUCGGUAAUAAUGGAUAGGUCCCCUUGUUUUUUUCACAGCGGUGUCAAAAGUAACAUAAAACAAAGGCUGCGUUGACUGAGAUGUCCUCCAGGACCAAGCUUACCCAGAUUCUCUGGUCUGUUGACUUUUCAGCAACAUGUGUCGCAGACAUUAAAAAAAUAGCACUGUGUAACACGUAUCUCUUUCCUUCUGUUUAUGUUUUGUCAAACAACUGUGUUGAUUAUUAAAUCAUACCCAAAUUGG
This is an RNA transcript of Salvelinus fontinalis (brook trout), 1962 nucleotides long. It is a transcript of the gene named OCIA domain containing 1, with no coding region annotated. The transcript has 9 exons. The record is from RefSeq and is a predicted model, not a curated record. NCBI's taxonomy places the organism in Eukaryota, Metazoa, Chordata, Actinopteri, Salmoniformes, Salmonidae.